UUUUUUUUUGAUAAAGCUAGAAAAUUACAAUAAAAAAAUAGAGGGAAAAGUAUAAAAUUGGGGGGACUAAGCCAAUACCCAAUUAGACAACAAAGACAGAAAAGCAAAGUCACUUCCUAAGUAGCCUUAGACCACUUCUAAGGAAGGAUAAAAUGGAAAACAAAGUCUGCUACUAAGGAUAGUAACAGGUGACAAUAAGAAGACACAAGCACAAAGAAUUAAAGCAACAGAGAAUCAAUCUAAAGCCUAAACCAAGGCAUACACAUCAUGAUUUAUAAGCUUUAGAUAUGCCACUCUUAGCGCGAGUUUGAAUGCACUCAUUUUUCGAUUCUCUAGGACUCUGCAAUUUGUUUUUUUUCUUCUGUCUAUUUGAAACAUAUGGAGUAAAGGACUUAUUGUUCUCAUCAUCAUCA
This 413-nucleotide long non-coding RNA is filed under the name Medicago truncatula (barrel medic). Its description in RNAcentral is "long non-coding RNA (MTRU_LNC008040)". Lineage: Eukaryota; Viridiplantae; Streptophyta; Magnoliopsida; Fabales; Fabaceae. The record is from RNAcentral.